Molecule: ribosomal RNA, 772 nt
Filed under: bacterium enrichment culture clone PF-1_9
Lineage: Bacteria
Description: bacterial SSU rRNA
Rfam family: Bacterial small subunit ribosomal RNA
Source: RNAcentral
UAGAGUUUGAUCCUGGCUCAGAUUGAACGCUGGCGGCAUGCCUUACACAUGCAAGUCGAACGGCAGCACGGGGGCAACCCUGGUGGCGAGUGGCGAACGGGUGAGUAAUACAUCGGAACGUGUCCUGUAGUGGGGGAUAGCCCGGCGAAAGCCGGAUUAAUACCGCAUACGAUCUAUGGAUGAAAGCGGGGGAUCUUCGGACCUCGUGCUAUAGGGGCGGCCGAUGGCGGAUUAGCUAGUUGGUGGGGUAAAGGCUCACCAAGGCGACGAUCCGUAGCUGGUCUGAGAGGACGACCAGCCACACUGGGACUGAGACACGGCCCAGACUCCUACGGGAGGCAGCAGUGGGGAAUUUUGGACAAUGGGGGCAACCCUGAUCCAGCAAUGCCGCGUGUGUGAAGAAGGCCUUCGGGUUGUAAAGCACUUUUGUCCGGAAAGAAAUCCUAAUGGCUAAUAUCCGUUGGGGAUGACGGUACCGGAAGAAUAAGCACCGGCUAACUACGUGCCAGCAGCCGCGGUAAUACGUAGGGUGCGAGCGUUAAUCGGAAUUACUGGGCGUAAAGCGUGCGCAGGCGGUUCGCUAAGACCGAUGUGAAAUCCCCGGGCUUAACCUGGGAACUGCAUUGGUGACUGGCGGGCUAGAGUAUGGCAGAGGGGGGUAGAAUUCCACGUGUAGCAGUGAAAUGCGUAGAGAUGUGGAGGAAUACCGAUGGCGAAGGCAGCCCCCUGGGCCAAUACUGACGCUCAUGCACGAAAGCGUGGGGAGCAAACA